CAUGUACUCCUUCCGUCCCAUAUUAAAUAACUCGAAUUUAUCCAAAUAUGGAUGUAUCUAUGUCUAAAACGCGUCUAGAUAUAUGUACUAGAAAGUCAUUUAAUAUGGGACGGAGGGAGUAUUAC
Brachypodium distachyon (stiff brome) is the source of this 125-nucleotide non-coding RNA. The record is from Rfam. NCBI's taxonomy places the organism in Eukaryota, Viridiplantae, Streptophyta, Magnoliopsida, Poales, Poaceae.